CGCUAAAAAGCUAGCCCACAUACCCAAAAACAACAAACCACUAUUCAUACCCCCGAACAAACUGACUAAUCUAUUAACAAACCAUUUUCCCCCCUUAGUAUAGGCGAUAGAAAAGGAACCAUGGAGCCAUAGAAAAAGUACCGCAAGGGAAAGCUGAAAGAGAAAUGAAACAACCCAGUUAAGCACAAAAAAGCAGAGAUUAUAGCUCGUACCUUUUGCAUCAUGAAUUAGCUAGUAAAAUGCAAGCAAAGAGCACUUUAGUUUGCCUCCCCGAAACUAAGUGAGCUACUCCAAGAUAGCCUAGCAAUAGGGCGAACCCGUCUCUGUGGCAAAAGAGUGGGAAAAGCUUCGAGUAGUGGUGACAGACCUAUCGAACUUAGUUAUAGCUGGUUGCCUGAGAACUGGAUAGAAGUUCAGCCUCCCGGCUUCUCCCCUCACAUCUAACCUUAACCCUUAGACACCUAAAAGAAACCCGGAGAGUUAAUCAAAGGGGGUACAGCCCCUUUAAUAUAAGACACAACUUCUCCAGGAGGGAAAAGAUCAUAUUUAAGAUAAGGAACAAUGUCUUGGUGGGCCUAAAAGCAGCCAUCCUUACAGAAAGCGUUAAAGCUCAGACAUGUCUUUUUAUCCCCCUAUUCUGAUAACCUAUUCUCAACCCCCUAAUCUUAUCAGGCCAUUCCAUGCACUCAUGGAAGAGACCAUGCUAGUAUGAGUAAUAAGAGAGCACUGUAGGCUCUCUCCCUGCACAAGUGUAAAUCGGAACGGACACCCCACCGAAUUUUAACGGCCCCAAACAAAGAGGGUAAUGGACUACUAAACCAAACAACCAGAAAAACAUCCAACCAACAAACCUAACCGUUAACCCUACACUGGCGUGCUUCCAAGGAAAGACUAAAAGAAAGAAAAGGAACUCGGCAAACACAUCAAGCCUCGCCUGUUUACCAAAAACAUCGCCUCUUGCAAAAUUAACAAAUAAGAGGUCCCGCCUGCCCUGUGACUAUAUGUUUAACGGCCGCGGUAUUUUGACCGUGCAAAGGUAGCGCAAUCACUUGUCUUUUAAAUGGAGACCCGUAUGAAUGGCACAACGAGGGCUUAACUGUCUCUUCUUUCAAGUCAAUGAAAUUGAUCUCCCCGUGCAGAAGCGGGGAUACGCACAUAAGACGAGAAGACCCUGUGGAGCUUUAGGCACCAAGGCAGACUAUGUUAAGUACCCCAGACUAAUGACUAAAACAACUUAUAACCUGCCCUAAUGCCUUCGGUUGGGGCGACCGCGGGGAAAUAAAAAACCCCCAUGUGGAAUGGGAACACCUCCUAAAACUAAGAGCCCCCGCUCUAAUAAACAGAACUUCUGACUAAUAAGAUCCGGCAAUACCGAUCAACGGACCAAGUUACCCCAGGGAUAACAGCGCAAUCCCCUUUUAGAGCCCAUAUCGACAAGGGGGUUUACGACCUCGAUGUUGGAUCAGGACAUCCUAAUGGUGCAGCCGCUAUUAAGGGUUCGUUUGUUCAACGAUUAAAGUCCUACGUGAUCUGAGUUCAGACCGGAGUAAUCCAGGUCAGUUUCUAUCUAUGAAAUGACUUUCUCUAGUACGAAAGGACCGAGAAAAUGGGGCCCAUGCUUAAAGUACGCCUCCCCCCUCACCUAAUGAUUACAACUCAAAUAGGCAAAAGGACAUACUUUUCCCGCCCAAGAAAAUGGCAU
This 1702-nucleotide ribosomal RNA is filed under the name Holacanthus tricolor (rock beauty). RNAcentral describes it as "16S ribosomal RNA". The stretch from base 98 to 1621 matches the Rfam family "Bacterial large subunit ribosomal RNA". Lineage: Eukaryota; Metazoa; Chordata; Actinopteri; Pomacanthidae. The record is from RNAcentral.